RNAcentral lists this small RNA (439 nucleotides) under Arabidopsis thaliana (thale cress). Its description in RNAcentral is "ATSL179760". Lineage: Eukaryota; Viridiplantae; Streptophyta; Magnoliopsida; Brassicales; Brassicaceae. The record is from RNAcentral.
UAUAUGCAAGAAAUGUGGAUAUCCAAAACCAAAUGGUAUGUGGAACCAAAUUUGAUAAUAAAAAAGAGGGUAUAUGCACUAGAUGACCAUGAAAUUCAUAAUAUUAUAGAAACUAACCAUGGACGUAUAGUACCUGUCGGAAACCAACUUUAAAUUACUCUCAUAUCCUUAUAAUAGGGUUUUGGUUGAGGGGACAAAUAACUUUAUAGGCAAAUAGCUUUACUACUAAAGCUUUCAUAACCUCCUCUUCCCUUACAACAAUAACCACCACUAGAUCUGUAACACCACCGCCUCCUCCGUAUUUAGUAUUACUAGAUCUGUAAACACUACCGCCUCCGUAUUCACCACCAUCAUAUCCAUAACACCACCGCCUCUUCCGUAUUCAUCACCAUCGCCGUUUACUUUUGUUGACAUGUAUUUUUAUUUUAAAACAUUGUAU